AUUGAACGCUGGCGGCAGGCCUAACACAUGCAAGUCGAACGAGCGGCGGACGGGUGAGUAAUGUAUGGGGACUGCCCGAUAGAGGGGGAUAACUACUGGAAACGGUAGCUAAUACCGCAUACUAUCGGAUAACCCAUAUGGGAUUAGCUAGUAGGUGGGGUAAUGGCUCACCUAGGCGACGAUCCCUAGCUGGUCUGAGAGGAUGAUCAGCCACACUGGAACUGAGACACGGUCCAGACUCCUACGGAGGCAGCAGUGGGGAAUAUUGCACAAUGGGCGCAAGCCUGAUGCAGCCAUGCCGCGUGUAUGAAGAAGGCCUUCGGGUUGUAAAGUACUUUCAGCGGGGAGGCGUUACCGACAGAAGAAGCACCGGCUAACUCCGUGCCAGCAGCCGCGGUAAUUC
RNAcentral lists this ribosomal RNA (403 nucleotides) under uncultured bacterium. RNAcentral's name for it is "partial 16S ribosomal RNA". It matches the Rfam family "Bacterial small subunit ribosomal RNA", at positions 30 to 526 of the family's 1533-position model. The record is from RNAcentral.